Molecule: small nuclear RNA, 117 nt
Organism: Indicator indicator
Lineage: Eukaryota; Metazoa; Chordata; Aves; Piciformes; Indicatoridae
Product: U5 spliceosomal RNA
Exons: 1
Source: RefSeq, a predicted model, not a curated record
GAGCUCUGGUUUCUCUUCAGAUCAUAUAAAUCUUUCACCUUUUACUAAAGAUUUCUGUGGAGAGGAACAAGUACGAGUGUCAAAAAUUUUUUUGAGGCUCUACUUCAGUAUUUGAGG